AGCAUGGCCACAGUCACAUCACUGAAACAAGUAAAAGUGAGUAAAAGAGUAAAUAAAUGAAGAGAAAGUGUUAGUGACAGGAAGAGCAUCCAGUCAUUGAAUAAUAUAUUACCUUGAGAAUUUUCGAGUGCAGCCCCCUCUUGCUUGUAUGGGAAAAAUAAAGGUAAACAUAAAAUCAUGUUUGAUGGUGACAUCAUUGUUAUUGCUUCUGUCAUCCUCCUCCUCCUUCUCUUCCUCUUCCUUCUCCUCCUCCUCUUCUCCUCAUCAUCAUCAUCAUCAUCAUCAUCAUCGUGCUGAUUGUAAGGAUGGUGAAUAAACUUGGUUGGUAUUUUAUUUUUCACCGAAGACAAUAUGCCAUGAUUUAAAUCAGUCAGCAGCCAAUGCUACUGUUGCUUACUACUACUACUACUACUACCACCACCGCUACUACUACUAGCAUCACUACUGCUACUGCUGCUGUUGCUUUCUAUGAUAACCUCAUUAAACACCAAAACUAACGAGAUAUUGUUAUCAAAGCCUAAUGAAUGACGAUAAUGAUGAUGACAACGACGACAACGAUGAUGACAAUGACAAAGAUGACGAUGAUGAUGAUAACGAUGAUGAUGAUGAUAAUGAUGACGAUGGUGACGAUGAUGAUGAUGAUGAUGAUGACGGUGAUGAUGGAAACACUUGUUAGUAACUAGGACAGAUUCAAAAAAAAAAGUCAGAUAAACAACUAAACGAAAAAGAAAGAAAGAAGGAAAGAAAGAAAGAAAGUCAGAAUGACAGAAUGACAAACAGACAGACAAAUUACUU
Molecule: long non-coding RNA, 795 nt
Organism: Octopus sinensis (East Asian common octopus)
Lineage: Eukaryota; Metazoa; Mollusca; Cephalopoda; Octopoda; Octopodidae
Exons: 2
Source: RefSeq, a predicted model, not a curated record